GUGGCUAUGGCGGCACAUAUACUAAUAUUGGAAUGAUACAGAGAAGGUUAGCAUGGCCCUUACCAAAAGAAUGAC
Molecule: small nuclear RNA, 75 nt
Organism: Ictalurus punctatus (channel catfish)
Lineage: Eukaryota; Metazoa; Chordata; Actinopteri; Siluriformes; Ictaluridae
Source: Ensembl